This 70-nucleotide transfer RNA is filed under the name Stegodyphus mimosarum. It matches the Rfam family "tRNA". From Rfam's summary of the family: Transfer RNA (tRNA) molecules are approximately 80 nucleotides in length. Their secondary structure includes four short double-helical elements and three loops (D, anti-codon, and T loops). The record is from Rfam by way of RNAcentral. Lineage: Eukaryota; Metazoa; Arthropoda; Arachnida; Araneae; Eresidae.
GCCUUCGUGGUGUAAUGGUCAGCACACUGAGCGUAUUCGAGAGGUCCAGGUUCGAAUCCCGGUAAGGGCG